GAACGCUAGCUACAGGCUUAACACAUGCAAGUCGAGGGGCAGCAUGGUCUUAGCUUGCUAAGGCCGAUGGCGACCGGCGCACGGGUGAGUAACACGUAUCCAACCUGCCGUCUACUCUUGGACAGCCUUCUGAAAGGAAGAUUAAUACAAGAUGGCAUCAUGAGUCCACAUGUUCACAUGAUUAAAGGUAUUCCGGUAGACGAUGGGGAUGCGUUCCAUUAGAUAGUAGGCGGGGUAACGGCCCACCUAGUCUUCGAUGGAUAGGGGUUCUGAGAGGAAGGUCCCCCACAUUGGAACUGAGACACGGUCCAAACUCCUACGGGAGGCAGCAGUGAGGAAUAUUGGUCAAUGGGCGAGAGCCUGAACCAGCCAAGUAGCGUGAAGGAUGACUGCCCUAUGGGUUGUAAACUUCUUUUAUAAAGGAAUAAAGUCGGGUAUGCAUACCCGUUUGCAUGUACUUUAUGAAUAAGGAUCGGCUAACUCCGUGCCAGCAGCCGCGGUAAUACGGAGGAUCCGAGCGUUAUCCGGAUUUAUUGGGUUUAAAGGGAGCGUAGAUGGAUGUUUAAGUCAGUUGUGAAAGUUUGCGGCUCAACCGUAAAAUUGCAGUUGAUACUGGAUAUCUUGAGUGCAGUUGAGGCAGGCGGAAUUCGUGGUGUAGCGGUGAAAUGCUUAGAUAUCACGAAGAACUCCGAUUGCGAAGGCAGCCUGCUAAGCUGCAACUGACAUUGAGGCUCGAAAGUGUGGGUAUCAAACAGGAUUAGAUACCCUGGUAGUCCACACGGUAAACGAUGAAUACUCGCUGUUUGCGAUAUACUGCAAGCGGCCAAGCGAAAGCGUUAAGUAUUCCACCUGGGGAGUACGCCGGCAACGGUGAAACUCAAAGGAAUUGACGGGGGCCCGCACAAGCGGAGGAACAUGUGGUUUAAUUCGAUGAUACGCGAGGAACCUUACCCGGGCUUAAAUUGCAGAUGAAUUACGGUGAAAGCCGUAAGCCACAAGGCAUCUGUGAAGGUGCUGCAUGGUUGUCGUCAGCUCGUGCCGUGAGGUGUCGGCUUAAGUGCCAUAACGAGCGCAACCCUUGUUGUCAGUUACUAACAGGUUCUGCUGAGGACUCUGACAAGACUGCCAUCGUAAGAUGUGAGGAAGGUGGGGAUGACGUCAAAUCAGCACGGCCCUUACGUCCGGGGCUACACACGUGUUACAAUGGGGGGUACAGAGGGCCGCUACCACGCGAGUGGAUGCCAAUCCCAAAAACCUCUCUCAGUUCGGACUGGAGUCUGCAACCCGACUCCACGAAGCUGGAUUCGCUAGUAAUCGCGCAUCAGCCACGGCGCGGUGAAUACGUUCCCGGGCCUUGUACACACCGCCCGUCAAGCCAUGGGAGCCGGGGGUACCUGAAGUGCGUAACCGCGAGGAGCGCCCUAGGGUAAAACUGGUGACUGGGGCUAAGU
This 1451-nucleotide ribosomal RNA is filed under the name uncultured organism. Its description in RNAcentral is "SSU rRNA". It matches the Rfam family "Bacterial small subunit ribosomal RNA". The record is from RNAcentral.